RNAcentral lists this ribosomal RNA (875 nucleotides) under uncultured bacterium. RNAcentral describes it as "bacterial SSU rRNA". It matches the Rfam family "Bacterial small subunit ribosomal RNA", at positions 8 to 896 of the family's 1533-position model. The record is from RNAcentral.
AGAGAAGGAUCCUGGCUCAGGACGAACGCUUGCGGCGUGCCUAAGAAAUGCAAGUCGAGCGGGGAGUGAGAUUUCGGUUUCACUUCUAGCGGCGAACGGUCGCGUAACACGUAAGCAACCUGCCCCGAAGACCGGGACAACAGCUCGAAAGAGCUGCUAAUACCGGAUGUGGCCACCGGGAGGCAUCUUCUGGUGAUUAAACCGAGCAAUCGGCUUCGGGAGGGGCUUGCGGCCUAUCAGCUAGUUGGUGGGGUAACGGCCUACCAAGGCGACGACGGGUAGCUGGUCUGAGAGGACGGCCAGCCGGACUGGGACUGAGAUACGGCCCAGACUCCUACGGGGGGCAGCAAUUAGGAAUCUUGCGCAAUGGGCGAAAGCCUGACGCAGCGACGCCGCGUGGAGGAGGAAGUCCUUCGGGAUGUAAACUCCUUUUUCCGGGGAAGAAAACAAUGACGGUACCCGGUGAAUAAGCCCCGGCUAACUACGUGCCAGCAGCCGCGGUAAUACGUAGGGGGCGAGCGUUGUCCGAAGUUACUGGGCGUAAAGCGCGCGUAGGCGGGGGAUUAAGUGAGAGGUGAAAGGCUGGGGCUCAACCUCAUGCAGUGCCUCUCAUACUGGUCUUCUUGAGGGCGGUAGGGAGAAGUGGAAUGGCUGGUGUAGCGGUGAAAUGCGUAGAUAUCAGUCGGAACACCGGUGGCGAAGGCGGCUUCUUGGGCCGUUCCUGACGCUGAGGCGCGAAAGCUGGGGGAGCGAACGGGAGUAGAUACCCCGGUAGUCCCAGCCGUAAACGAUGUAUACUAGGUGACGGGGGAUCGACCCCCUCCGGUGCGCAGCUAACGUAUCACUAUACCGCCUGGGGAGUACGACGCAGGCUG